AGUGAACGCUGGCGGUAGGCCUAACACAUGCAAGUCGAACGGCAGCACAGUAAGAGCUUGCUCUUACGGGUGGCGAGUGGCGGACGGGUGAGGAAUACAUCGGAAUCUACUUUUUCGUGGGGGAUAACGUAGGGAACUUACGCUAAUACCGCAUACGACCUACGGGUGAAAGCAGGGGAUCUUCGGACCUUGCGCGAUUGAAUGAGCCGAUGUCGGAUUAGCUAGUUGGCGGGGUAAAGGCCCACCAAGGCGACGAUCCGUAGCUGGUCUGAGAGGAUGAUCAGCCACACUGGAACUGAGACACGGUCCAGACUCCUACGGGAGGCAGCAGUGGGGAAUAUUGGACAAUGGGCGCAAGCCUGAUCCAGCCAUACCGCGUGGGCGAAGAAGGCCUUCGGGUUGUAAAGCCCUUUUGUUGGGAAAGAAAAGCAGCAGGUUAAUACCCCGCUGUUCUGACGGUACCCAAAGAAUAAGCACCGGCUAACUUCGUG
This 491-nucleotide ribosomal RNA is filed under the name uncultured bacterium. RNAcentral's name for it is "partial 16S ribosomal RNA". It matches the Rfam family "Bacterial small subunit ribosomal RNA", at positions 29 to 507 of the family's 1533-position model. The record is from RNAcentral.